CUCAACCAAAUCAAGUGAUGCUCCCCUCAUAGGGACGGCAUGGAAGAGCACCAGUAAGCCAGUAACUCAGCCCCUGUAAUAGGGUUAGAGGCAGAGAAUCCCAGUGGAGAGAUGGGAACCGGCCAGGCAGAGACAGCAAGGGCGGUUCGUUUCUCCAGUGCCUUUCCGCUCAACUUCACACUCCUGGGCCAGACUGCACUCAAUCAUAGGACCUACUGAAGAGAUGAGUAUUCAAUAAAGACUUAACGGUUGAGAAUGAGUCUGUGUUUCUCACAUGGAUAGGCAGACCAUUCCAUGAAAAUGGAGCUCUAUAGGAGAAAGCCCUGCCUCCAGCUGUUUGCUUAGAAAUUCUAAGGACAGUAAGGAGGCCUGUGUCUUGUGACCGUAAGUCAGGGAUUUCCUCCUCUUCUUCCGAAGAGGAGAGGCGAAAAGGAUCAGAGGACCAAUAUGCGGCGUGGUAAGUGUCCAUGAUUCUUUUAAUAUGUAAAAUGUGCACAUGAACAACUGACUACAAAAACAAGAAACGUGUGAAACCUAAAACAGUCCUAUCUGGUGCAAAACACAGAGACAGGAACAAUCACCCACAAACACACAGUGAAACCCAGGCUACCUAAGUAUGAUUCUCAAUCAGAGACAACUAAUGACACCUGCCUCUGAUUGAGAACCAUACUAGGCCGAAACAUAGAAAUAUCCAAAUCAUAGAAAAUCAAACAUAGACUGCCCACCCAACUCACGCCCUGACCAUACUAACUAAAUACAAAACAAAGGAAAUAAAGGUCAGAACGUGACACCGUAGCGUACAUGUAGGUAUGUACGGCAGGACCAAAUCAGAAAGAUAGGUAGGAGCAAGCCCAUGUAAUGCUUUGUAGGUUAGCAGUAAAACCUUGAAAUCAGUCCUUGCCUUAACAGGAAGCCAGUGUAGGGAGGCUAGCACUGGAGUAAUAUUAUCAAAUUUAUUGGUUAUAGUCAAGAUUCUAGCAGGUGUGUUUAGCACUAACAGAGGUUUAUUAAGUGCUUUAUUCAGGUAACCUGAAAGUAGAGCAUUGCAGUAGUCUAACCUCGAAGUGAGAAAAGCAUGGAUUAAUUUUUCUGCAUCCGUUUUGGACAGAAAGUUUCUGGUUUUUGCAAUGUUACGUUCGUGAAAAGAGAGAUCAGGGUCCAGAGUAACACCGAGGUCCUUCACAGUUUUAUUUGAGAUGACUGUACAACCAUCAACAUUAAUUGUCAGAUUCAACAGAAGAUCUCUUUGUUUCUUGGGACCUAGAACAAGGAUCUCUGUUUUGUCCUAGGUUAAAAGUAGAACAUUUGUCAGUCAUCAUUCAGGUAGGUCCUAGCCAGUUAUCAUUCAGAUAAGUCCUCCUAGCAAGUCAUCAUUCAGGUAGGUCCUCCUAGUCAGUCAUCAUUCAGGUAGGUCUUAGUCAGUCAUAUUUCAGGUAGGUCAUCCUAGUCAGUCUUCAUUCAGGUAGGCCAUAGUCAGUAAUCAUUUAGGUAGGCCAUAGUCAAUCAUCAGUCAGGUAAGUCCUCCUAGCCAGUCAUCGUUUAGGUAGGUCCUCAUGGUCAGUCAUCAUUCAGGUAGAUUCUAGCCUGUCAUCAUUCAGGUAGGUCCUCCUAGCCAGUCAUCAUGCAGGUAGAUCCUCCUAGCCAGUCAUCAUUCAGGUAGGUCAUAGUCACUCGUCUUUCAGGUAGGUCAUAGUCAGUCACAGUGAUGAGAGGGCCUUGCUCUGUUUAUCUUUAGAAGGAUCUUAUCCUUCGUCUAGUUGUGUCUAGGGUUGCAAAAUUACAAGAACUUUAAAUAAUUUCCAUGGUUUUCCCAACAUCCCAGUUGGAGGAUCCCAGAACCAGGAGGAAAUAAGCAGGACAUCCGGAACCCUCCAACCAGGAUUUCUGGAAAACUAGGGAAUUUAUUGACAGUUCCCUGAAUUUUGUAACCCUAGUUGUGUCCCAAUAAAUGCAGAAGGAGCUGUGCCAGGAGAGGGCCUGUGGGAGUAUAGUGAUGAGAUUGACCACUCUCUCUGUGGUACAACUGCUGCUGACUCAUCCUGCACUACCUGCAGGACUCAGGCUUAGUACUCAUCACACACACACACACACACACAUUUCCCACAGAUGACAUGUUUGAACUGUCCUUGUGGUUGUCUCGGUGGGUGUAGGUUGACCAGUGAGGGUUUCAACAACUUGUUGUUAGUCUACUCCUCUCUGGUUCUGUUUGGCUUCAAGAGUGAAGAUCUGGAUGUCAAGGUAACAUACAUUUCAGCUCUCUUCAAAAUAAAACGGAGUCUUUCAAUUCAAUCUGAUAUGAAAUGUUAACAAAUGUUUUUUUUGCUGACCUAC
Long non-coding RNA from Oncorhynchus tshawytscha (Chinook salmon), 2331 nucleotides. The record is from Ensembl. Lineage: Eukaryota; Metazoa; Chordata; Actinopteri; Salmoniformes; Salmonidae.